UACGGGAGGCAGCAGUGGGGAAUAUUGCACAAUGGGCGAAAGCCUGAUGCAGCUAUGCCGCGUGUAUGAAGAAGGCCUUAGGGUUGUAAAGUACUUUCAUCGGGGAGGAAAAACAAAACUAAUAAUUUUAUUUCUUGACGUUACCCGAAAAAGAAGCACCGGCUAACUCCGUGCCAGCAGCCGCGGUAAUACGGAGGGUGCUAGCGUUAAUCAGAAUUACUGGGCGUAAAGAGCACGUAGGUGGUUUUUUUAAAGUCAGAUGUGAAAUCCCUGGGCUUAACCUGGAACUGCAUUUUGAAACUGAAAUACUAGAGUAUCGUAGAGGGAGGUAGAAUUCUAGGUGUAGCGGUGAAAUGCGUAGAUAUCUGGAGGAAUACCUGUGGCGAAAGCGGCCUCCUAAACGAAUACUGACACUGAGGUGCGAAAGCGUGGGGAGCAAACGAGGAUUAGAUACC
Molecule: ribosomal RNA, 455 nt
Filed under: uncultured bacterium
Lineage: Bacteria
Description: bacterial SSU rRNA
Rfam family: Bacterial small subunit ribosomal RNA
Source: RNAcentral